This 497-nucleotide ribosomal RNA is filed under the name uncultured bacterium. RNAcentral's name for it is "partial 16S ribosomal RNA". It matches the Rfam family "Bacterial small subunit ribosomal RNA", at positions 28 to 507 of the family's 1533-position model. The record is from RNAcentral.
GACGAACGCUGGCGGCGUGCCUAAUACAUGCAAGUAGAACGCUGAAACUUGGUGCUUGCACCGAGCGGAUGAGUUGCGAACGGGUGAGUAACGCGUAGGUAACCUGCCUGGUAGCGGGGGAUAACUAUUGGAAACGAUAGCUAAUACCGCAUAAGAGUAGAUGUUGCAUGACAUUUGCUUAAAAGGUGCAAUUGCACCACUACCAGAUGGACCUGCGUUGUAUUAGCUAGUUGGUGGGGUAACGGCUCACCAAGGCGACGAAACAGAGCCGACCUGAGAGGGUGGGCAGCCACACUGGGACUGAGACACGGCCCAGACGCCUACGGGGGGCAGCAGUAGGGAAUCUUCGGCAAUGGGCGGAAGUCUGACCGAGCAACGCCGCGGGAGUGAAGAAGGGCGUCGGAUCGUAAAGCUCUGUUGUAAGGGAAGAACGAGUGUGAGAGUGGAAAGUUCACACUGUGACGGUAUCUUACCAGAAAGGGACGGCUAACUACGUG